This 582-nucleotide long non-coding RNA is filed under the name Rattus norvegicus (Norway rat). RNAcentral describes it as "long non-coding RNA NONRATT022117". Lineage: Eukaryota; Metazoa; Chordata; Mammalia; Rodentia; Muridae. The record is from RNAcentral.
UGUAAAAACAAUAAUUAAGUGCAUUAAAAAUAUAAAAAUAAGUGCAGCAUACUAGACUACAUGAUUCCAAACCACAAAUCUUUGGGUUCUGAAAGCGCCAUGAGCACCGUAACUCCCUGUUUAAACUCUGGCAAUGAACUCACUGCCAGAAAGCAUAUGUCACACGAUGAGUCAGAUCAUCAGCCCACAGAACGCAGAACUGGCAUUUCAGAGGUGUGUGUAUGUUCAGCAACAUACCAACAUAUUUCGACAAUCGUUGAAUGUCAAGCAUCAUUCAUGUGGGAUAUUAACAUGUUAAUGUUUUCAUUAAAAAAGAAAGAUCUCUGGCCUCAUUACAUUGCAUGGUUUAUAGAACGGAGAUCUGUCAAAUAAAUUAUUGCAAAGUAGUUUAAGCUAAACUUUAUAACACUGAAAUUACAUAAUUGAGGGCAAAUAACCUUUAAAAAUGAAAGACGAAUGGCAAAAUUUUAAGGGCAUUUAAUUUGCAUAAAUGUGAUGUUUAAUGUUAACAGUUUUUCCUGGUUACAUAUUUCAUAUCUGCCAUAUUAGGUUCUUAACACUCGUAUAGGUCAGUUUUCUAUG